AAGUCGUAACAAGGUUUCCGUAGGUGAACCUGCGGAAGGAUCAUUAGUGAAUUAUAGGACGUCCAAUUUAACUUGGAGUCCGAACUCUCACUUUCUAACCCUGUGCAUUUGUUUUGGUUAGUAGGAUGCUUGCGUCUGAACACCUCUUCAUUUUACAAACACUAAGUAUAAGAAUGUUUAAAUUUUAUAAUCAAAUAAAACUUUCAACAACGGAUCUCUUGGCUCUC
This 227-nucleotide unclassified non-coding RNA is filed under the name air metagenome. Its description in RNAcentral is "partial contains small subunit ribosomal RNA, internal transcribed spacer 1, and 5.8S ribosomal RNA". The stretch from base 1 to 46 matches the Rfam family "Eukaryotic small subunit ribosomal RNA", at positions 1786 to 1831 of the family's 1831-position model. The record is from RNAcentral.